CAGAAGGUGCCCCGGGGGCGCGCGCCGGUCCAAGUCCCUUGGAACGGGGCGUCACGGAGGGUGAGAAUCCCGUACGCGGCCGGGGCGGCGCGUCCCCGCGCGGGGCCCUUUCGACGAGUCGAGUUGUUUGGGAAUGCAGCUCCAAAUGGGUGGUAAAUUCCAUCUAAAGCUAAAUACCCGCCAGAGACCGAUAGCGCACAAGUAGCGUGAGCGAAAGAUGAAAAGCACUUUGGAAAGAGAGUUCAACAGCACGUGAAAUUGUGGAAAGGGAAGCGCUUGCGGCCAGACUCGGCCGCGCGCGACCACCCGCCCCCCGGGGCGGGGCACGCGCGCGCGGCCGGGCCCGCAUCGGUUCGGGCGGCUGGACAAAGGCCCACGGCAUGUGGCCCCCCUCGGGGGGUGUUAGAGCCGGGGUGCAAUGCAGCCCGCCGGGACCGAGGCACGCGCUCCGGCACGGAUGCGGGCGUAAUGGCCGCCAGCGACCCGUCUUGAAACACGGACCAAGGAGUCGACCAGUCCCGCGAGUGUUUGGGCGUCGAAACCCACGCGCGCAAUGAAAGUGAACGGAGGCGAGAGCCCCCCCGGGGGUGCACCGUCGUCCGAUCCUGAAGUUUACGGAUGGAUUUGAGAAGGAGCGUGGCCGGUCGGACCCGAAAGAUGGUGAACUAAACGCAGCUAGGAGGAAGUCGAGAGAAAUCUCGAUGGAUGUCCGCAGCGGUUCUGACGUGCAAAUCGAUCGUCAAAGCUACGUUUAGGGGCGAAAGUGAGGCUCCCCCCGGCGGGUCCCCCCUGGGCGAGCAAAGGUGCUGACUGGGAUGCAGGACUAAUCGAACCAUCUGGUAGCUGGUUCCUGUCGAAGUUUCCCUCAGGAUAGCAGUCGCGCGUGGAGUCGCAUCCGGUAGAGCAACGAUUGGGCGUUUGGGGGACUUAGAUGUCCUUCGCGCACUCUC
This 950-nucleotide ribosomal RNA is filed under the name Porina tetracerae. RNAcentral's name for it is "eukaryotic LSU rRNA". It matches the Rfam family "Eukaryotic large subunit ribosomal RNA", at positions 151 to 1059 of the family's 3401-position model. Lineage: Eukaryota; Fungi; Ascomycota; Lecanoromycetes; Ostropales; Porinaceae. The record is from RNAcentral.